RNAcentral lists this ribosomal RNA (2286 nucleotides) under Escherichia coli. Its description in RNAcentral is "partial 23S ribosomal RNA". It matches the Rfam family "Bacterial large subunit ribosomal RNA", at positions 661 to 2925 of the family's 2925-position model. The record is from RNAcentral. Lineage: Bacteria; Pseudomonadati; Pseudomonadota; Gammaproteobacteria; Enterobacterales; Enterobacteriaceae.
GGGAGCCGAAGGGAAACCGAGUCUUAACUGGGCGUUAAGUUGCAGGGUAUAGACCCGAAACCCGGUGAUCUAGCCAUGGGCAGGUUGAAGGUUGGGUAACACUAACUGGAGGACCGAACCGACUAAUGUUGAAAAAUUAGCGGAUGACUUGUGGCUGGGGGUGAAAGGCCAAUCAAACCGGGAGAUAGCUGGUUCUCCCCGAAAGCUAUUUAGGUAGCGCCUCGUGAAUUCAUCUCCGGGGGUAGAGCACUGUUUCGGCAAGGGGGUCAUCCCGACUUACCAACCCGAUGCAAACUGCGAAUACCGGAGAAUGUUAUCACGGGAGACACACGGCGGGUGCUAACGUCCGUCGUGAAGAGGGAAACAACCCAGACCGCCAGCUAAGGUCCCAAAGUCAUGGUUAAGUGGGAAACGAUGUGGGAAGGCCCAGACAGCCAGGAUGUUGGCUUAGAAGCAGCCAUCAUUUAAAGAAAGCGUAAUAGCUCACUGGUCGAGUCGGCCUGCGCGGAAGAUGUAACGGGGCUAAACCAUGCACCGAAGCUGCGGCAGCGACACUGUGUGUUGUUGGGUAGGGGAGCGUUCUGUAAGCCUGUGAAGGUGUGCUGUGAGGCAUGCUGGAGGUAUCAGAAGUGCGAAUGCUGACAUAAGUAACGAUAAAGCGGGUGAAAAGCCCGCUCGCCGGAAGACCAAGGGUUCCUGUCCAACGUUAAUCGGGGCAGGGUGAGUCGACCCCUAAGGCGAGGCCGAAAGGCGUAGUCGAUGGGAAACAGGUUAAUAUUCCUGUACUUGGUGUUACUGCGAAGGGGGGACGGAGAAGGCUAUGUUGGCCGGGCGACGGUUGUCCCGGUUUAAGCGUGUAGGCUGGUUUUCCAGGCAAAUCCGGAAAAUCAAGGCUGAGGCGUGAUGACGAGGCACUACGGUGCUGAAGCAACAAAUGCCCUGCUUCCAGGAAAAGCCUCUAAGCAUCAGGUAACAUCAAAUCGUACCCCAAACCGACACAGGUGGUCAGGUAGAGAAUACCAAGGCGCUUGAGAGAACUCGGGUGAAGGAACUAGGCAAAAUGGUGCCGUAACUUCGGGAGAAGGCACGCUGAUAUGUAGGUGAAGUCCCUCGCGGAUGGAGCUGAAAUCAGUCGAAGAUACCAGCUGGCUGCAACUGUUUAUUAAAAACACAGCACUGUGCAAACACGAAAGUGGACGUAUACGGUGUGACGCCUGCCCGGUGCCGGAAGGUUAAUUGAUGGGGUCAGCGCAAGCGAAGCUCUUGAUCGAAGCCCCGGUAAACGGCGGCCGUAACUAUAACGGUCCUAAGGUAGCGAAAUUCCUUGUCGGGUAAGUUCCGACCUGCACGAAUGGCGUAAUGAUGGCCAGGCUGUCUCCACCCGAGACUCAGUGAAAUUGAACUCGCUGUGAAGAUGCAGUGUACCCGCGGCAAGACGGAAAGACCCCGUGAACCUUUACUAUAGCUUGACACUGAACAUUGAGCCUUGAUGUGUAGGAUAGGUGGGAGGCUUUGAAGUGUGGACGCCAGUCUGCAUGGAGCCGACCUUGAAAUACCACCCUUUAAUGUUUGAUGUUCUAACGUGGACCCGUGAUCCGGGUUGCGGACAGUGUCUGGUGGGUAGUUUGACUGGGGCGGUCUCCUCCUAAAGAGUAACGGAGGAGCACGAAGGUUGGCUAAUCCUGGUCGGACAUCAGGAGGUUAGUGCAAUGGCAUAAGCCAGCUUGACUGCGAGCGUGACGGCGCGAGCAGGUGCGAAAGCAGGUCAUAGUGAUCCGGUGGUUCUGAAUGGAAGGGCCAUCGCUCAACGGAUAAAAGGUACUCCGGGGAUAACAGGCUGAUACCGCCCAAGAGUUCAUAUCGACGGCGGUGUUUGGCACCUCGAUGUCGGCUCAUCACAUCCUGGGGCUGAAGUAGGUCCCAAGGGUAUGGCUGUUCGCCAUUUAAAGUGGUACGCGAGCUGGGUUUAGAACGUCGUGAGACAGUUCGGUCCCUAUCUGCCGUGGGCGCUGGAGAACUGAGGGGGGCUGCUCCUAGUACGAGAGGACCGGAGUGGACGCAUCACUGGUGUUCGGGUUGUCAUGCCAAUGGCACUGCCCGGUAGCUAAAUGCGGAAGAGAUAAGUGCUGAAAGCAUCUAAGCACGAAACUUGCCCCGAGAUGAGUUCUCCCUGACCCUUUAAGGGUCCUGAAGGAACGUUGAAGACGACGACGUUGAUAGGCCGGGUGUGUAAGCGCAGCGAUGCGUUGAGCUAACCGGUACUAAUGAACCGUGAGGCUUAACCUU